Magnolia sinica is the source of this 107-nucleotide small nucleolar RNA. The record is from RefSeq and is a predicted model, not a curated record. Lineage: Eukaryota; Viridiplantae; Streptophyta; Magnoliopsida; Magnoliales; Magnoliaceae.
AAUCCAUGUUGUGGGCAUGAACUAACAAAAUCCUUGAACCGUUCACAACAUUUGAAGAAGGUUUCAUCUUCCCUUUGGGCGAAGUUCAUGAUUGACUUCCUUAUGGU